CGAAAUCCCACCCACCCACCUCAUCGCUCCUCUCUCGCUCGUCUCUCCCUCUCCCCCGCACCACUUCUCGCCGCCGCCACCAGCACCACCACCGACGGCGCCCGAUCCCGCCUGAUUCCAGCGUCCUCCAGCGCGCCCAGCACACCACCGUGCCCCCUCUCAAUGCUCCUUCCUCCCAUCGGGCCAGAUCCGGCGCGCGUGUCCUCCAGCGGCCAAGCGUGACCCUGCCCAGCAGCUAGGGUUUGGGCCAGCACAUCGCCGGCGUGGCUCUGGCGUUGCUCCGGUGACUUAGAUCUAGCGCACCGUAGCCGCUCGAGCACCGGGACGCCAUGGAUGGGAAGGCUUCUUCCUCCUCUGUCCCGAUGCCAUGAACAACGCAGCUCCACCACCAGACCAUGGAGACGGAGCUCCUUCUCCCGCAUCACUCAUGGAGCCUCCCUCUCAGCGCCCGGAGCCCUAGAGAGAAUUCAAGGCCAUGGCCGGAGAGAGGAGCUGCUCCUAGUAUAGGACGCCAUGGAAGGUGCUGCUUUGAUGAGGAGAAACUGCUGUUGUAGGACGUCCUCCUCCCAUCCCCUACCCCCACACGUGGGUUAUGAUGAUAUUUCCAAGGAAAUAUACUGACCCUGAUGCGACAAAGGUGUCCAUUUUCCUUUUCUUAAACUUAUUUACUCUGUUUUUUGUUCUUCCUGUAGUUCCAGUUUCACAUUGCUGGUGUUUCAUGCAAUAUUCAUCAGAGCCUGCUUACAUGCCUUAUUAUUGAGUAACUUGAUUAGUAUUUCUGCCACUGUCCUAUCUCAGUAAACUGUUUGUUUUUUCAGUAGCUAAAAAAGAAAGUAAAUCUAUUAUAUCCUGGUAUUCUAGAAUUCCAGUCUCACAGAAGUUACUCUGUGUCCUGCUUUAGCUUGCAAACCUGAUGCUCUGCUGUCUGUUCUCAUUUCUUAACUUUGAAAUGUUUCAAACUUAAGAGUGCCCUCAUCCUCUAUUACAUCUGUAUGCACCUUGGUAAGAAAUAUAUUGGUCUUGUAAAUAUCAUUGGGAAGUACAUCUGCUUCUGUAUGUUCUUGCAAGCAUUAAAUGUUGCUGACAUUCUCACUAAAGAAUGUCCCUCCAGCACAUUCCUUUGAAAUGUGACCUUGAGUCAAGCUCCAAGAAGAUAUUCAACAGAUCUGCAUCUGCUCUAGAUGCUCAUGCACAAGAUACUAAGUUAUUGGUUGUGUUAUUCUGGUUGGUACUAUCUUAUAAACAUGUGGGGUAAUGAUACUGCUGGGACAAAUUUGAUGAAAUGUUGUACUGUUUGUUCAUUCUGUUGUGUUAUUUUGUGAUCCUGUGGUGUAAUGAUACUGUUGUGUUAUUUUGAGAAUUAUAUUAUUAUUACCAUUA
This is a long non-coding RNA of Aegilops tauschii subsp. strangulata, 1380 nucleotides long. RefSeq lists it as uncharacterized. Lineage: Eukaryota; Viridiplantae; Streptophyta; Magnoliopsida; Poales; Poaceae. The record is from RefSeq and is a predicted model, not a curated record.